GGCCCUGUAGCAAAAACCAGGUAAAGCGGCAGAUUCAAAAUCUGUGUCAUUUGUGGGUUCGAAUCCCACCAGGGUUACCA
This 80-nucleotide transfer RNA is filed under the name marine sediment metagenome. RNAcentral describes it as "tRNA-Leu". It matches the Rfam family "tRNA". From Rfam's summary of the family: Transfer RNA (tRNA) molecules are approximately 80 nucleotides in length. The record is from RNAcentral.